This is a long non-coding RNA of Brassica napus (rape), 2045 nucleotides long. RefSeq lists it as uncharacterized. NCBI's taxonomy places the organism in Eukaryota, Viridiplantae, Streptophyta, Magnoliopsida, Brassicales, Brassicaceae. The transcript is spliced from 6 exons. The record is from RefSeq and is a predicted model, not a curated record.
UCUUUUAGUUUUGGGACAUUUGCUAAAAACAACCCAAAUAUUCAAGUCAAAUCUAAAAGUGUACCCCACUUUCAGUCAAAUGCAAAACCAACCUAAAAGGGUAGUGAAAAUACUAGUUAACCCUUAUGACCAAACAAAAAAACAGAAAUGUAUUUUACGUUUCUAUCCUUCGGAAGUCUACACGUAAUAAAAGAAGUCUACAUAUAUAUAGAUUUCCUACGAUGUCUACCUUAUAGACUUAUUUUGUAGUCUACACUCUAAUUUGAUCUAAUAAUUUAAUUUUGAAAAUGUAUAAAAAUAAUUAUUGUGAUAUUUUUAACUAAUCAUCAAUAUAAUGGAUAAUAUGAACUAAAUAAAUUAAAAUUUCAUAUAAUUGAACAAUUUUGAAGAAUAUAUACUAAUUUGGUUAUCAUGUGUUAGACAAUGUUCAUAGUUUAGAAACAAAAUGUUCUUACAUGUUAUGUCUUUUAGUAGUUGAUUUCAUAGGGUUGGAUUUUAGAUUUUGUUUUUUUUAUUGUUUUGUUAUCUUAAAUCUGCAUAGUAAUGUUUAGUAGUUUAUAUUUUGUACAAUUGAGACUUUUUGAUUAUCAAGCAAAACAUUUAGCGUUUGAGAUUUGUGGUUUAGGGUUUAGGGUUUCGUAGACCUACAAUAAAGUCUAUUUAUCUGUAGACGUCCUUUUCAGUCUAUUUUAUUGGUAUUUACAAAAAAUCUUAAAUUUUAAAUUAAAUUUAGGGUAUAGUAGACGUCUUUUUGGUCUACUAGGAUACAAUUGAUUAAUUUAGGGUAUAGUAGACGUCUUUUUUAGUUUAAUAAGACCUGAAAUUACAAAAAAGAUUGAUUAAAUUUUGUUUUUAUGGAAACGGAAAUGAUAUCAUAUAUUAAACUUAUUAUAAAAAUAAAGAAAAAAUAAAUAAAUUAUAUAUAUAAAUAAAGAACAAAAAAUAAUUUAUAUAAAUAUAUAAAUAUAUAUAUAAAAAAUUGUAAUAGACAUACCGAUUGUAGACCUACUUGUGUGUCUACGGAACCGGAAACAAUUUAAUUUAACCAAAAUAAUAUAAUCUAACAAGUAUUAAACCAGAAAAGUUUUAACCUAACCGGAUAACUUUCCCGACAUAUAAAUACAAUUUUUAGUCUUCAUUUGGUAAAAAAAGACAAACCCUAGCGGCCGUUACUCUCUCUCUCUCUCUCUCUCUCGGGCGAUUUCCGGUGAAGUCAACCCGUUUCUGCCGCUUACACUGGUUGCCGUCCCGCUGCUGCUGCUAUAUCUUCCCUCUGUAAGAUCUGAGCCGGCGAAGGAACAUUGUGUAUGUAUGUCUCUCUAUCCAACUGUUGAGCUUUUGAAGGGCUUGAGAAAGAAGAGGGCCACCUCAAAACAACUAAUCACAACAAUAUUGUAACUUCAGCUCGUUCAACUUCUCUACUCUUUUCAAGAGAAAUCAUGAGUAGGCUAUAAGCAAUCUAGCUAGAGUAGUGAUGAUUCUUCUGCCAUAACCGGCAUUGACAGCUUGCUGGCAAGUGAGGUGCCUAUCGGUUAUCAGGCUGGGACUUUCACUUUAGAGGACUGACCUACAGUCCUGGCAUGGCUCGGUCUAGGCGUUUAAGAGAGAUUCUCCACCGGUUGUAGACUUCAAUAGCGAUCUUGAAACUCUCUGAGACGAGAAAAUUGCAAGAAGGCGGAAGCUUUGUAUCCACUGUCAAUACUGUAUCACAACCAACUGUUACGGACAUUGCAGCAUCAGUAUGUCUAUGGAGUUCUUGUAUUUUAAGCCAUGGCCACAUUCAUUGGCCAAGUCUAUGUUCUAUCGUUGAUUGCACUCUUUGUGGCCGCUUCAACUGCCCUGAUUGUGCAACCAUUUUUUGGCUAGAAUUGGAGGAUAUGAAGUUUUUGGUAAUAGGUGUUUGUAUUAUAUGCCUUUGUACUAGCUAUAUUGUAUUGUGCUUUUGUAUCACUGCUGUAUUAUGUAAUUUUCUUGGAUAUUCUGUACUGAAGUGUACUCGACCGAAAGUAGACUUGUUUAAUACAACUCCAAAUGAAUACAUCAAA